This 407-nucleotide ribosomal RNA is filed under the name uncultured bacterium. RNAcentral's name for it is "partial 16S ribosomal RNA". It matches the Rfam family "Bacterial small subunit ribosomal RNA", at positions 28 to 526 of the family's 1533-position model. The record is from RNAcentral.
GACGAACGCUGGCGGCGUGCCUAAUACAUGCAAGUAGGACGCAGUUGCGAACGGGUGAGUAACGCGUAGGUAACUACCUAUUAGAGGGGGAUAACUAUUGGAAACGAUAGCUAAUACCGAAUACUAGUAGAAGGAAAUGCGUUGUAUUGGCUAGUAGGUAGGGUAAUGGCCUACCUAGGCAACGAUACAUAGCCUACCUGAGCGGGUGACUGGCCAGCCUGGGACUGAGACACGUGCCAGACUCCUACGGGAUGCAGCAGUAGGGAAUCUUCGGCAAUUGGGGGAACCCUGAACGAGCAACGCCGCGGGAGUGAAGAAGGUUUUCGGAUCGUAAAGCUCUGUUGUUAAGGAAGCGGUACUUAACCAGAAAGGGACGGCUAACUACGUGCCAGCAGCCGCGGUAAUAC